UCACAUCAUAAUAAAUCCAUGCCUAUUAUAUAUAUAUUAAAAAAAAAAAAAGGCAUAUCAUCACCAUAUUCACAUGCACAUACAAUAAAGAAGGGGAAGAAAAUCAUCAUCUUGAACAAAAGGAAGGCACGCCAUUUUUCUUUCUUUCUCUGGACCAAUAGAGAAACAUUUUUUUUAUUUUUCUUUCUUAUUCAUCAAAAGACACACUCACCUCUCUCUUCUACACAAGAAAUCGCACAAACUAUUCAUCCUCACCGGAAAAAGUACACCUACGCACACACACUGCUCACAUAUGCAUAGAGGGAGUGAGAGAGGACAGAAGGGAGAUCGAGAGUGAGAGAUCAAAAGGGAGAAAAGAUACAAAAAAAUGGACUGAAAAGGGGGAAGGGAACCAGCUUUUUCAGCGAAACCUUAGCCGAAAUCAACUCUACAUCGCGAUUAGGCUGACCCACCUCCGUAAUUCCAAAAUUUCUCUUUUUCUAGUGGUUUUCUAGAUGAAAUCGGCCGAAAAACACUGAGGUCUCGAUGAAAAUCAUCACACAGGUUCUCAGAUGCAUCUUGGAAAGUUUGAUUUCGGGUUGUUUUUGUCUAUUUUCCACGAUUUUGUUCGAAUGGGUGAAAAAAAGAGCAAAAGUUGAAAUAAUGAGGCUUGGUUUCAUUGUUGGGUCUGUUUCGGGGUUCAUCGGUUCAUGAGGCUUCCGUCGCUAUUAAAAUCGAUACAAGUUGAUCGGAUAAAAGGAACAUUGAUGUCCAAUUCUAUCUUUUCUCGCUUUAAUUUUAACAUAAUUGUGAAUGUUUUAUGUGCUUACCAUGUUUGAAUCUUCAUUGUGUAUUAUUUGGUGUUGGAGUUGGAUGUGAAGUCUUGAUUGGUGAACCACGUAUGGAAUUAGUUUAAUCAUGUUGAUAUUGAAUUCGGGGUGGAAUUGAGAAAUUGACAAAAGAGUGAAUUUGGAUUGAUUAAGACUUUGGUUUAAGUAUGAAUAUUGUUGAACACGAUAGUAGCAUGAUUAGACCGAGUUGGAUAGGCAAAUGUUUAGGUGUUUAUAGGCAAAAGUUAGAAGUGGUGUGUUGUUUGAAUGCGUUGAAUGUUGAAAUGGGGGAUGAAAGUAUUUUUGUUUUAUCACUUUUGGAUCAAUUGUACUAUUUGGCCGGGGAAUGACCCGAAGUAUUUGUAUAUAUUUAUUCACUGAGGAAGGCCCUGACGUACUAUGUUGGCGAAGGCAGAUCAAGAACAAGGCCCGAGGCAUCGGGUAAAGCUGAGGAGCGUAGUUAGGAUUAGUAUAGAUUAGAUAGGACUUAUUUUCGCAUUUUUAUUUAUUUUGGGACUGUAUAAUUGGACUGAACACUAUACUUUGAUUCGUCUUGUUUGAUUGCUUUACGUGUUUCUUUGUGGUUUGUACAUUCGUAAUGUCAAAAUUAGCCGAUAUACUUCACCAAGCGACCGUGGUCAAACCACGGGAUCGAGGGGUGCCUAACACCUUCCCCUCCGUCAACAGAAUUCCUUAGUCGGAAUCUCUGUUCGCGGAUCAGUCUUUUAAAUUCAAAAUUGUUUUGAAAAGUAUUUUUCAAAGGUGACUUAGCACACCGAAUUAUGCCAAGUGGCAACUUUGAGCUUAAAUGUAAAAAUAAUCCUUUUUCAAAAUAAAUUUUCAUCUUUUGUCACCUAAUAAUAAGAAUCCUUCCGGACCUUAAAUUGAAUAUUUUUGGUUAAAAAAAGGGUGUGACAGUUCUGGCGACUCUGCUAGGGACUCCUUUUCAAAAUUUGGGCUUAUUUUCGGAGUCGUAUCGGCUUUGUUUGGCAUUAGGGGUGUAUAGACAUUGUUUGUGUUAUCGUUUAUGUUAUUGUUAUCACUGUUGUGUGUUUCUGUGCUCUUUGUUUACAGUUUUUCUUUAUGUGUUACCGCUUUAUAUCUUACAUCAUUUGCAUAACCCGAGUCAAUUCUUUCUGCAACAAAUCUCGGAGUGCACGUCGUACGCACGAACUCUAAUUGAGUCACCCUUAUUUUAGGGGGGGAGCCGUUGGAUGUAUGGAGUAGGUAGAAAGCAAAACAGUCACUAUCGACCAUAUGCUCUCCCAAACGGCCUUGUUAGUAAACCACAAUGUAGGUCAGCCUUUAGCUCAUUCUUAUGUGCAUUAUAUUGAGACCUAGCGGGACCCAAACGGUUCUUUGUAGGAGACUCACCCCUAAAGCAUCCCUACGUGCUAAAUAUUGCAUCUUUGAGGAUAACAUGGUCAUUUGACGGACUGAUUUGGGGAAAGCAUGUGCUAGAAUUAAAUAGUGUGUAGGCAAGGAAAAAUUGAAAAAAAAAAAAAAAAGAGAGGAAAAAGAAAGAAAAAGUGAGUCAAAAAGUAAAAAAGGAGAGUUUCGUAGUUUUUAGAGUUUUUUGUGGCUUUUGUUUUUUAACAAUCUAAAUAUUCAAAAAGAUUUAUUUUACCUUUCGCACUCAUUUUUUUCAAAAACAUCAAAAAGAUUUUUCUUUUGUUCCUUUACCAUGAAUUCAUAAUUCAAAAAUUUCAAAAAUAUUUUUUAAAUUGGAGCUUUUUAUAAAGAAAAAAAAAUACAAAAAAGAUGGUAGAAGUUUGUACAUUACAUAUAACUAAAUACUCAAAAGAUUUUUCCUUUCAUAAUUGUUAAUGUCAGUUUUUAUGUAAAGCGUCAAAUUGCAAAAAAACUCAAAAAGAUUUUAUUGACGUCUUUUAUCGUCUGUCUGUAAUCGCAUCUCUCACGUCAGGGUUCAGUCGGUUAUUUAAUCAUUAAUUGUCCUAUCUGGACGAACUACGCACCCCUGAUUCUUCUCUUUGAGGAUGUGAGAUACGUAGACAACCUAUUGUUGGUUCAGGGAUCGUAUUUAAAAAAAAAAUUCAAAAAGAUUUUCUUUACUCUUCACUUAGAGUAGGUGUUUCAUAUACAUCUGUAAAAGAAAACUACAAAAAGAUUUUUCUUUAAUAGGUUCAAGUUUUAUUUUCAUAUGAAAUUUAAAACUGAAAACCCAAAAAGAUUUUCUUUGGUAAUCAUAGAUUUCACUUUGUAUAGGGAUGUUAAAGCUGAAAAAUGCAAAAAAGAUUUUCGUCAAUUCUUUUGAUAAUUUGUUAUUUUCUUUUCUUCUUAAAGUUCCAAGAAAAAGAGAAAGAAAAAAGAGUUAAUUGGCUAUUUUGGCAAGACUUCACGAACUACGCACACCUGAUUCUCCUCUCUCGGGUGUGAGAUACGUAGGCGCCCUUCUUGGGUUCGAUGACCUUUCCAAAAAGAAAAAAAAAGGAGAGAUUUUGAGAAAGUGUUGAACUCUAACACAUUUGCUAUCUCUUGUUCAGUUAGUUUGAGGUGGUUGGUUUGUGGAAUUUUGAAUGGUCCUCCAUAUUGCACCAAGUCACAGAGAAGAUUAUGGCCAACAAGGAUACCGAGUUUUUUGUCACUAAUCAGAUAGGGAGUUCGGGAAAUGAGAAUUUAGGAUCUAAUGAAGAGAUUCAAAAAUUAAGGCAGCAAAUGAUAGAAAUGCUUCGAGCUUGGGAUAAUGGGUUGCCGCCUCCUCCAGUUCCCACUGAUAAUCUGGAAUAUCUUUCUAGCUUGCCUCCCGUGUCACAUGCACAAUUUUCCAUUUUUGUUGAUAUGACACAACAUGUAUCAGGAUCGACUCUGGGGCAACAAUAUCCAACCACUUCCAAUGUUCAUUUUCUCACUCCCCAAUCCAAGACUACCACAUACUCGGCUCCACUUGUUGUUCAUGCUUUUGCGGUGCCACCCCCUCAUGAAGCUCCUAUUUUUGAUGUUCAUCCACAAGUUGUGCCUCCCUACCCUACAAGAGAGACUGCAUUGAAUAUUAUUGGUGAUCAGCGUUACACUUCCGAUCCUACAUUUAAGUUGACUGGUCUUUACAGUGACACUCACCCGCCUAAAUUUCCUCCUACCAUUGAGAAACCUGUUAUGACAGAAGAACAAGAUGAAAUGACUAAAAAAUUGAGAAGUUUGGAACUGGCUAUGAAGAAUUUGCAAGGAUUUGGGGAUUACAAAAGUGUCUCAUAUAAGGACUUAUGCAUGUUUCUAGGUGUCAACCUUCCUCCUGGCUUUAAAAUGCCAAAGUUAGAGAAAUAUGACGGACAUGGGGAUCUAGUGGCAUAUUUGAGGCGCUAUUGUAACCAAUUAAGGGGUGCUGGAGGGAAGGAAGAACUACUCAUGGCUUAUUUCGGGGAGAGUCUUUCAGGACUAGCUUCAGAAUGGUUUGUUGACCAAGACAUCGACAAGUGGAUUAGUUGGGAUGACCUAGCUAAUGAAUUUGUGCAACAAUUUCAAUACAAUUUGGGGUUGAUCCCUGACAAAAAAUCCCUAAACAGUAUGAAGAAGAAGAAUACUGAGAGUUUCAGAGAGUAUACAAUCAGAUGGCGUGAACAAGCUGCUAGGGUGAGGCUACCAAUGAAAGAAAGCAACAUAGUGGAGGUGUUUAUUCAAGCGCAAGAUGAAACAUACUAUCAACAUUUGUUACCUACGUUAGGCAAGCCAUUUAUUGAGGUCCUUAAAAUAGGGGAGAUAAUAGAAGAGGGAAUUAAGACUGGUCGCAUUGUGAGUUUUGCAACAUUGAAAGCGACUACUCAAGCAAUUCAAAAGGGUUUAGGAAGUGUUGGGGAGAAAACGAAUGAGGAAGAUGCAUCUGCUAUUGUAGUUGGACAGCAGGAAAGGUCAAGAAGACCACGUCGUGGUCACACUCAGGCACAAUCCCAAGCUUCACAUAAUUACUCCCAAAAUCCAUUAUACUCUGCUCUUCCCCCUCUAUAUCCAGUAUAUAACGCACAACUACAUAUUCAACCCCUAUCUUACCCACAGUGGAACACACCAACUCCUCACAGUCAUCCUCUGACUCCACAAACAUACCAAAACCCUUCUAAGCCUGAUUUUCGAUCCAAGUUAAAUGAUGAAAUGAGGCAAAAGUUGAGAGAUAGCUUCACACCAAUUAGAGAGUCGUAUACCAAUUUAUUUCAGAGAUUGGUACAAUAGGGCAUGAUCACUCCUCUCCUUAGGUGCACUCUUAAUCAGUGUUUAAGAAACGUUGAUCCUAAUAUACGAUGUGCGUAUCAUUCUGAUGCUCAGGGUUAUAGUAUUGAAGAUUGUCGAGAUUUGAAAAGAGAAAUUGAAAAAAUGAUUCAAGAUAAAUGAAUUAUGGUGCAAAAUGUUGACAGUGAGGGAAGUUCUAGUCAUCCUGAUAUGCAAACUAGUGGCUAAGUCAUCAGGCUGAGCAAUUGAGAAGUCACCCCUCUCCUUACUAGGAAGAGGUCUGGUAGUUUGUUUUGUCUUCUUUUCUGUUUUAUGAAUUAUUUCAGGGUUGUAGUUCAGGAUCUAUUUUCUUUUGUCCCUUUGUCAUUUAUGUUCAAACCCUUCUAUCUUUUAUUUCAAGUAAAUGAAUUGUCCCUUUCCCUUUGUGUUUAAAUAUGUGUCGUUUGUUUGUUUUCUUUACAUAGUAUAUUUUAUGUUGAUUCUAGUGAUAUGAUAUGCUGCGGAAUUUUCAGCCAGAUUUUAAAAUCUAGUUUAAUCAUGAGCAUGAAAUCAGAGGGUUAAAGUUAGAAAAAGCAUUUGAGAAAAUAGGUAGAGUGUUGAGACAUUUGGUGACCAAGUUGAAGUCUUCUUUGAAAAUUAAGGCAAUUAUUUUGAGAUUACAAGACUAACUUAGUCAUCAAUUGAAAUACAUGUCUCGAUUAGGUCAAACAGUGGCUGCGUGAUCCUAUAUCAAGGGUAACAGAAAGAAAAUCAGCUCCACGAAGUCAUGAGUCCUUCAGCAUGAGGUAUGUACAAUGAAAAUGGAGUUGUAUGUUUGACAAGUGUAGAAAAAGAAGUGACAUACAUGCUCAGUUGAAAUUAGUAUUGUUAAAGUACCACAAAUGAUCUUCAUCUUUCAUUUUCAUAUUACAUGAUAUGUACUUGCAUUUUUAAGGAUUGAUAUGACGAAGGCAUUUCAUUCUACUAUCCAAACAUCGUGUCAUCCUUUGUUUACCCCAUUUGAGCUUUAGUCCUAUUUUCUUUUAUACCCCCUCUUUUGGAAUCAUAUAGAGUCAACAAAGCUCAAAAGAAAAGGUGCUGAGCAAAACAGUAGAGUCAGAAAAGUUUCAAAAAAAAAGAAGAGAAAAAUGUGUCCAAAAAGAGAAAAAGAAGAGCAUCGAGAAAAAUAAAGUCAGAAAAAUCACAAAGAAAAUAGAGUAAAAAAAGAAGAAGAACAAGUCAGAGUCAAGCAAAAAAAGAAUAAGCUGUUAGAACUACGCAUGACCUGAUUCUCCUCUCUCGAGGGUGAGAUACGUAGGCUUCCCUCCCAUGGACUCGGUCCAACCAAAUAAAUAAUAUAGAAUUGCCCAGUCAAAAGAAACUGGGGCAUGAUUUAAUCCUCAUUGUUUGAGUCGAUUCGAAAAGUUGUAAGUCCUAACCACUUAAGUGUCGUUUGGGCCCCAUGCCAUCCUUUCUUUCUAACCUUAUCCAAAAGCCAAGCUACAACCAAAGAAAGACCUUCAGAUCAAUCUUUGAGAAUGUUAAGGCUAAGCAUACAAUGCAUAUGAUGACGCAUUUUGGGAACUGCUCGUCUUCCUCAGCAUAGGGAAUCAAAAGAGAAAUAAAAAUAAGUGAGUCUUACUGGUGAAAACCCUUACGGACACCAUAAGGCGAUGGUAAGCUGAGAGAAAUAAAAAUGAGAGAGUCUUACUGGUGGGCACCAUAAGCCGAUAGUGAGCCGAGAGAAAAUGAAAGAAGCUUGUUGGCGAAAACCCUUCAAGGCGCCACUAGCCGAACGGGGUCUUAAAUGCAAUUGACCUAAGAAAGAAACUCAGUUUCAAGGCCAUUAACUCAACAACAAUGGGUAGAAAUUUUGGAUGAAAAGAUCAAGCUGCUUAAUCCAAAAUACAUGGCAUAAUCAUUAGUGUUGACUGUCAUUUUUAGAUGAAUUUUUCGUUUCUUUGUUUUAAAAGGGGACAUUUAUUGUCUUCUCUUUCUUCUCUUUAUUUUAAUUUUAUCUUUCUUGAGUUAGUUAUCCAAAAAAAAAUUGUCAUUCUUUUCUUCAUUUCUUGUCUUUGAGUCAAGUUCGUGUCAAAACAAGAGAGAAAAUAUUUCAAAAAUGGCUACCAGCUUCUUUAAUUGCACAAAGCAAGACAAAAGCUAGCACAUGAAAGAGAUAUGAUUGUGAGCCAAAAAAGGGCAUGCAGAAAGUUUAGUCAAAUGAGAAGUCAGGGAACUCAUGGAAAUACCAAGGUUCAAAGGGUUUAUCUAAGGAGCAUGGAAAAGCAGAGAUUUUGUGUUUGUUUCAGAGUCACUCUUAAUCAUCUGAGUUUGAGUCAAUGAAGCAGCAAGUUAAUGAUAUAUGUAAUGGUUGGAAGAAAGAUUAAUGUGAUAAGGGCAAAGACGAUCUCCGCGAAAGCUAAAUCCACAAAUCAGCCACUAUGUUUCAAACUCACAAGUUUUCUUUGAUGAAACAGAAAGCAUAGUACCUUCAAAGCAAGAAAUUUAGAGCAUAAACAUCAAGGGAUUCAAUGCCUCACUUUUACAAAUGCAGGGAGCAAUGUUGCUGCACAGGUUUGAUAAUUAAAUCAUGGUAAAAAUUCAUCAUCUUAUAUCCCUCGGAGACACUUUUUCUUGUCCAAGGAUUUCAAUUUUCAUUUGUUGGGUGAUACACUUCUUAAAUUGAACCUUCACUCCUAGAAUAUGUACCUUCCAGUCGACUCAUUCCCUUUGACUCUUAGAAGACGUACCUUUUAGUCGAGUCAUCCCCCGUGCUUCCUAUAAGAUAUAUGUUUUAGUCGAGUCAUCUCCUUUGAUUCCUAUAAGGCGUACCUUUUCGUCAAGUCAUUCCCCUUGACCCCUAUAAAACGUACUUUUUAGUUGAGUCAUUCCCCUUGAUUCCUAUAAGGCGUACCUUUUAGUCGAGUCAUUCCCCUUUAACCCUAAAAGACGUACCUUUUAGUCGAGUCAUCUCCCUUGAUUCCUAUAAAAUGUACCUUUUAGUCGAGUUAUCUCCCUUUAUUCUUAUAAGACGUACCUUUUAGUUGAAUUAUUCCCUUUGAUUCCUAGAAGACGUACCUUUUAGUCGAGUCAAUUCCUUUGAUUUCUUUAAGAUGUACCUUUUAGUCGAGUCAUUUCCUUGGAUUCCUAUAAGAUGUACCUUUUAGUCGAGUCAUUCCCUUCGAUUCCUAUAAGACAUACUUUUUAGUCGAGUCAUUCCCUUGGAUUCCUUUAAGGCGUACCUUUUAGUCGAGUCAAUUCCUUUGAUUUCUAUGUGACGUACCUUUUAGUCGAGUCAUUCCCUUUGAUUCCUAUAAGACGUACCUUUUAGUCGAGUCCUUUCCCUUGACCCCUAGAAGACGUACCUUUUUAGUCGAUUCAUUCCCUUUGAUUUCUAUAAGACGUACCUUUUAGUCGAGUCAUUUCCCUUGACCCGUAGAAGACGUACCUUUUAGUCGAGUCAUUCCCUCUGAUUCUUAUAAGACAUACCUUUUAGUUGAGUCAUUCCCUCUGAUUCCUAUAAGAUAUACCUUUUAGUCAAAUCAUCUCCCUUGAUUCCUAUAAUACAUAUCUUUUAGUCGAGUCAUUCUCCUUAAUUUCUAUAAUGAUGUGACUUUCACAAAAAGUCCUUUGAUGAUAAACUAGGGAAAAAUUUAAUUCUUGUUGUUUGGAACUUCACUUUUCUAGCAAAUGAUCUCUUUAUAUAAUCUUUGUUUGGGAUAAUUUUCUUUUAGUUUUGAUGUGAUUUCAGGAGCCCGCCUGAAGAAUAGGGUGAAUACAUGGAAAGUCAAGCGACAAGGUGAAAAGUUGAAAUUUAACAGAUUGAAAAAAAGCAAGUUAGAAGCCCGCCAGAAGAAUAGGGUAAAGAAAUUGAAAGUUAAGCAAUUAGGUGAUACAAUUGAAAUCCAAACAACAAGUUGAGGAAAUUGCAAGUCAGGAGCCCGCCUGAGGAACAGGGUGAUGAAAUUGCAAGUGAGGAGCCCGCCUGAAGAAUAGGAUGAGAAAAUUGCAAGUCAGAAGCCCGCUUGAGGAACAGGGUAAUGAAAUGGCAAGUCAGGAGCCCGCCCGAAGCACAGUGAGAAUAAAUGGAAAGUUAAGCAACAAGGGGAAGCAAUUGAAAACCAGGCAACAAGUGAUGAAAUCUCAAGUCAGGAGCCCGCCUGAAAAAUAGGGUGAUGAAACUCAAGUUAAGACUCCAAAAGAAGCUACGUAGAUAGGAUUUUGUAAUUUUAUUUAUGCUUUUUUAACUUGUAAUUUUUAUUUUUGAUGUAAUGAUAGAGCCGCGAACCGAAAUCUCGAUGGAACCUCACUCGACUCUUUAACUCGGUAUAGUCUAUUUCCUUCCAAUCUUUUGGGAUACCUGUCAAUUGAUUCCCCCACAACUUGGGUAAGUAGGAUGUCCUAAGUCAAGACCCAGUUGCCCUUCUUCGUUCUGUUUCUUCCUUUAAAUAAUGGUCGGGACAAAAUUCUAUCUCAUUGUCUACUUCUUUGUCUGAAAACACUACGUGUUUACAUUCAAAGGGGGCAUGACGUAGACACAUAAUUUUAUUGCUCCAAAAUAUUAAUUUUCACCUUUUUAUCCUAUCUUAUUGUGUACCCUCAACCAUGUAAUUAUACCUCACAAAAAUACAAAAAAAUAACACCCCUAUCAAAUUUCCUAACAAAUUUUUAUUUUUGUUUUAAUUAUCUUAACAACCUAUCCAAUUAAAAGACUCACCCACUACCCCACCCUCCACCCAUGUGACCCUCCCCUCCUUUUUCUUGUCCACAAAGAAAAAAUAUACGUGGGACUCACCAAAAUUCCCACAUCAUAAUAAAUUCAUGCCUAUUAUAUACAAAAAAAAAAAAAAAAAAAAAAAAAGAAAAAAAAUUUAUUCCCUUUAUAAAAAAAAAAAAAAAAAAAAAAAAAAAAAGGAAGGCAUAUCAUCACCAUAUUCACAUACACAUACAGUAAAGAAGCGACGAAAAUCAUCAUCUUGAACAAAAGGAAGGCACGCCAUUUUUCUUUCUUUCUCUGGACCAAUAGAGAAACAUUUUUUUCUUUUUCUUUCUUAUUCAACAAAAGACACACUCACCUCUUUCUUCUACACAAGAAAUCGCACAAACCAUUCAUCCUCACCGAAAAACGUACACCUACGCGCACACACUGUUCACAUAUGCAUAGAGGGAGUGAGAGAGGACGGAAGGGAGAUCAAAAGUGAGAGAUCAAAAGGGAGAAAAGAUACAAAAAAAUGUACUGAAAAGGGGGAAGGGAACCAGCUUUUUCAGCAAAACCUUCGCCGGAAUCGACUCUACACCGCAAUUAGGCCGACCCACCUCCG
This 10285-nucleotide long non-coding RNA is filed under the name Capsicum annuum. RNAcentral describes it as "long non-coding RNA (CANN_LNC004052)". Lineage: Eukaryota; Viridiplantae; Streptophyta; Magnoliopsida; Solanales; Solanaceae. The record is from RNAcentral.